This 810-nucleotide ribosomal RNA is filed under the name Triticum aestivum (bread wheat). Its description in RNAcentral is "partial small subunit ribosomal RNA". Lineage: Eukaryota; Viridiplantae; Streptophyta; Magnoliopsida; Poales; Poaceae. The record is from RNAcentral.
AUGUGGAACUGCUCGGCGCCGUCCCCGCUCUUGCUGCCCUUGAGCGACGACUACGUGAAAUGUGAAUCCUCGAAUUCUGCGCCCGGAGCCGCGGGUUUCGACGGAAUAAGCAGGCUCGCCGCCGACUAUGGCCAUCUCUGCCACCACAUGUCGUCGCUUCAGAGCCUUCCGGCGCCGGCUCUCUUCGCCACGCGCAGUUCCGAGAGCUUUUUCGGAAUGGGAGACGGUUCUGCCUACGGCGGCGACGGUAGGCCUGCUGCGUUCAUGCACUUCGGCUACACCCAGGACCAGCCACCUACUGCUGCUACCCAUCCUGUGAGAUGGACGGCAGCAGGCGGCGAGACGAUGGUCUGUGACGGAAGCAGCUUCAGUGGCUCCAAGAGGCGCAAGACAACGACGACGGACAGCCGGCUGCAGGGCAGCAGCGCAAAGCCAAGGAAUACUACUACUACAGCAGCUGCCAAGGCACCGUGCAAGAGGAGCCAGAAGCUGGGGGACAAGAUCACCGCGCUCCAGCAGCUGGUUUCCCCCUACGGCAAGACGGACACCGCGUCGGUUCUCCACGAGGCAGCCGCUUGCAUCAGGAACCUUCACGACCAAAUUCAGAUCCUGGCCGCGCCCUACCCUGGAGAGAGCUCCUCGCCGUCGUCGUCGCGGGAUGCCGGAGAAGAGCCAACGACAGGUCUGCGCCGGCGUGGCCUCUGCGUGGCCCCGCUGUCGCCGGCCGUUGUGAGCCUCGUGUCCGGCGCCGCCCGUGCCCGUGGCAGCGCUCAUGCCGACGUGGGGGGUGCUUGGUUCGCUGCUCUGUAG